UCCGGUGACUAUAUCAGAAAGGUCACACCCGUUCCCAUUCCGAACACGGUAGUUAAGCUUUCUGAGCCGAUGGUAGUGCAUUAGCGCGAGAGUAGGUGUUGCCGGUU
Molecule: ribosomal RNA, 107 nt
Filed under: Planctomycetaceae bacterium
Lineage: Bacteria; Pseudomonadati; Planctomycetota; Planctomycetia; Planctomycetales; Planctomycetaceae
Source: RNAcentral